CUACCCUUGACAUGUACGGAAUCCUGCUGAGAGGUGGGAGUGCCCGAAAGGGAGCCGUAACACAGGUGCUGCAUGGCUGUCGUCAGCUCGUGUCGUGAGAUGUUGGGUUAAGUCCCGCAACGAGCGCAACCCUUGUCCCUAGUUGCUACGCAAGAGCACUCUAGGGAGACUGCCGGUGACAAACCGGAGGAAGGUGGGGAUGACGUCAAGUCCUCAUGGCCCUUAUGGGUAGGGCUUCACACGUCAUACAAUGGUCGGAACAGAGGGUUGCCAAGCCGCGAGGUGGAGCCAAUCCCAGAAAACCGAUCGUAGUCCGGAUCGCAGUCUGCAACUCGACUGCGUGAAGCUGGAAUCGCUAGUAAUCGCGGAUCAGCAUGCCGCGGUGAAUACGUUCCC
RNAcentral lists this ribosomal RNA (396 nucleotides) under uncultured bacterium. RNAcentral describes it as "bacterial SSU rRNA". It matches the Rfam family "Bacterial small subunit ribosomal RNA", at positions 975 to 1375 of the family's 1533-position model. The record is from RNAcentral.